RNAcentral lists this long non-coding RNA (3009 nucleotides) under Homo sapiens (human). Its description in RNAcentral is "HSALNT0047615". The record is from RNAcentral. Lineage: Eukaryota; Metazoa; Chordata; Mammalia; Primates; Hominidae.
CUCCCUUUGCUCCUGCAAACUUCAAAUCCUUCUGAAUACAAACAUCUGUGAUUUAGUGCGAUCAUUUCACCCAUUAAAAUGAUCUGAGUAGGCAAACGAACCAACUGCUUGAUGAUUGUGGUCAGCAGUCUCCAAAGUGGCCCUCCAAUGACCUACGCAUUCCUCUACUCAUGACUGUAGAUAAUCCCCUCCCAUUGAACUUGGACUGGCCCCAUGACUCACUCACAACGGACAGAAUGAAGCAGAAGUGAUCCUCCAGGAAUUCCAAAGCCAGGCUCACAAAAGCCUUGCAGCCCCUACCUUGGUCUCUUAUAGCAUUUCCUCAGGAGGGAAACAAGCUGCCAUAUGAGAAAACGGACUACUACUUCCACUUCUUCACAACAUGAGACACCCCCAUGCUGUGCACAAGACCAAGCUAGCCACACAUUGAGACCAUUGGAGAGAGAAAGAUCCAACAGCCUGCAGGUGUUCCAGCCUCAAAGCUGGACAUACAAGGAAUAGAAGCUUCAGAUGUCUCCGCAUCAGCAACUAUCUGACUGCAACCACAUGAGGUACCCCAAUAAGCAAGAACCACCCAGCUGAGUUCAUCAACCCCCAGGACACAGGAGAGGAAUGAAUCAUUGUAAUCAACGUAAUGCAUCGUUUUAAACCACCAUGUUUUGGAGUGGUUUUUAUACAUUAAUAGAUAAGCAAUGAUCACUCUGCAAACACUCCAUGUGAUGUUUUUCUCUCAUUUUAAUGAACACUGUGUUUUCCUAGAUAUUAACUCUCUAUGCCUAAAUGAUCAGUCAGCCAUGAUCUUAUUCUACUCUAUCUAUACUCGGAAUAGCAAUAACAUAUACUUUAUCUAGUAUUUCAAAAUUAUCACCUAUUAUGAUACCCAGACAAAGAAUAUUUUCUUUCUCCUUUUUUCAGGAAACAGUUGAAACCUAACUUAAUAAUGAACAUUUUUCUAAGCAACGUUCCACUCUAAAGCUCAUGGGAGUUAUAAAAUAACCCAAAACUAAGAGGGUAGAAUGGCUCACCCUUUAAAUUCUUUAUAUCUUGAAGUCUUUGAUUUAAAUCAUUAUUUUUAAAAAACUCAAAUCACACUGUGCUCUUAAUAAAGCAUUAUUAUUUCAAGGAAAAGGAUAAAACUUUCCAAAGGCAAAUGUUUAGCCGGGGUAGAGUUGUAAAAGAUUCCAAGACAUUAGUCAGGAGAUGGAUUGCUUUGCUAUUAUAAGUCUGGGUUACAAUAUCACUGGAACCAAAUUCCCGUCAGAUUAGUCUUUACUCAAAAUGAAUGUUUGUAAUUAUGAAAUGAAAUAAGUUUUAAUUUGAAUUGCCUAAAAAGGGGAAACCAAAUAUUGUGUAAUUACAGGAGAAGAAAUUUGAGAUGGAAAACAAGAUAGUGUUAUUUACAAGUAAAAAGGCUUUUAUGGGAUUAUGGGGCUUUAAUGUGCAUAUUUGUAGGAUUUGGGGUGGCAGAAUUUGGAACUCAAAUAUUUUUCAUUAGCGUUUAUUUACAGUGCGCAUGCAAGAAAUGGAAUCCCAGACACAUCUGAUAUUGGUCUUAUUUAAACCUUUUAUAUCCCUACUAAAUCUGAAAAGACUCAAUGUUAGCCACACAUAAUGGAGGUAAUCAUGGAGUGUGAUAAAAUAAGUAUUUGAAAACCACAUGCAACUUUUAGGCUCAAAUCCAGAACUAUAAAAUCCACCUAGAGACAUAAUGAGCCUGCCUCUUCUUCUUGAAGGGGUAAAAGUAGUAUGGGGGAAACAUGUCCUUAUUCUUUCCCCACAGCUUGAGACACCUGAGCAGAGCCCCCAAAUGGCUUGUAAGUACUUUAUUGCAAAGGCCGCCCACAAGCACCAUUUUGCUCCUUGGAGGGCAGCCAUUUCUUAUCCUUGGCAAAGUGUGAAUUAGAUGACUUUAUGUCUCUAUCUUGUAUUUCUCCUGUCCUGUCCUGAAGCACUACUUCUCACAUUGAGGAGUCCAGGACCGUAGGACAUAGGCUUGUCCCAGCUCUCUUUCCCGCAGCUGGACUGCACUGCUCAGCUUUGAUGUCCCUGAACCUUUUACCCCAACCUUUUCUAGGAUAAAACCUUCCUGUUAAAGAUCUCCUUUCUCUGGCAGGGACAAACUAAUUUACAGUAAAUCAUCCUUCCCAGAGGUCUCCUUGAAAGUAUGGCAAAGACAGUUCAUGGUUCACAAAAUAUUUAUGUUCCUCUUCAUAUAUUGCACAUUGUUACUAGAAAGUGCCAACCGGACAUGACAUUUCCCAGAUCCCCUUGCAGUCUGGUGUGGUCAUGUGACUGAGUUCUGGCCAAUAAAAUAUAGACAAGAGUGAUAAGUGCUGCUGUUAAGAAACCUUCCAUGCAGCUCAUGUUCCUUUCCCCAUUCAGCUGACUGGGAGAUAAUCCCCAGGUGAUCUGGCAAACCUCUCUUAACCUGAAUUCCCUGAAUUAUUUAAUGGAAGAUAGCCAUCCCAUGUAUUAAUACAUAUUUUCCCUCCCAAUGUGGUUAAAGAGCAAGAAAUGCACAUUUGGGUCUUUGUUUUUUAACUGUAGUUAUACUACCCUAAAUACUAGUUAAUCCAGAGGAAUCAUUUCCUAACCAGAGAAACUGAAUUAGGGGCAGAUUUUCAAAGGUCAAAGAAACUUCCCAUUUCCCUGCAAAAUACCUAGUUCAAAAGUUACCUAAGAAUAGAAGCAUUUUAAUAGCCCUCCAGGAAAGGUUUGUCAUCAGUCAGAGACAGAAACACUUGUACAUGGAUGCCCACAUGAGUGAGCCAGAGGCUCUGCGUUCUGGAUUUCUUCCCACCCAAAGACAUUCUUUCACCUAGUUCCUCGCUGUUCACACUACCAGUCAUUUCUGAGCCUCAGAUAAUUUCAACAAGAUUUCCCAGCAUUUCCAUUUAGAAAUUCACUUAUCAAUAAAAAUCUCUUGUCAUAAUCUUAUCAUUUGUUCAUUCUUUUGUUCAUUCAUUCAAAUAGUUAUUAAGGACCCCAAAUACUAAGCAUUGAGCUAGG